GUCUACGGCCAUACCACCCUGAACGCGCCCGAUCUCGUCUGAUCUCGGAAGGUAAGCAGGGUCGGACCUGGUUAGUACUUGGAUGGGAGACC
Molecule: ribosomal RNA, 92 nt
Filed under: Cavia aperea (Brazilian guinea pig)
Lineage: Eukaryota; Metazoa; Chordata; Mammalia; Rodentia; Caviidae
Source: RNAcentral